AAUGCGGAUAUGGGACUGAGACC
Molecule: non-coding RNA, 23 nt
Filed under: Cricetulus griseus (Chinese hamster)
Lineage: Eukaryota; Metazoa; Chordata; Mammalia; Rodentia; Cricetidae
Also listed under: 1 other name
Source: RNAcentral